UGGGGAAUAUUGCGCAAUGGGCGAAAGCCUGACGCAGCAACGCCGCGUGAGUGAUGAAGGCCUUCGGGUCGUAAAGCUCUGUCGGAGGGAACGAAUGCUCUUGAGGUUAACAGCCUCGGGAGGUGACGGUACCCUCAAAGGAAGCACCGGCUAACUCUGUGCCAGCAGCCGCGGUAAUACAGAGGGUGCAAGCGUUGUUCGGAAUCAUUGGGCGUAAAGGGCGUGUAGGCGGUAUGUUAAGUCAUGUGUGAAAUCCCUCGGCUCAACCGGGGAACGACGCAUGAAACUAGCAAGCUAGAGUACCAAAGAGGGUGGUGGAAUUCCCGGUGUAGCGGCGAAAUGCGUAGAUAUCGGGAGGAACACCUGUGGCGAAGGCGGCCACCUGGUUGGAUACUGACGCUGAGACGCGAAAGCGUGGGGAGCAAACAGGAUUAGAUACCCAAGUAGUCCCUGAGCGGGCUGGCAAGGCGCAU
Molecule: ribosomal RNA, 473 nt
Filed under: uncultured bacterium
Lineage: Bacteria
Description: bacterial SSU rRNA
Rfam family: Bacterial small subunit ribosomal RNA
Source: RNAcentral